GACGAACGCUGGCGGCGUGCUUAACACAUGCAAGUCGAACGGAAAGGCCCUGCUUUUGUGGGGUGCUCGAGUGGCGAACGGGUGAGUAACACGUGAGUAACCUGCCCUUGACUUUGGGAUAACUUCAGGAAACUGGGGCUAAUACCGGAUAGGAGCUCCUGCUGCAUGGUGGGGGUUGGAAAGUUUCGGCGGUUGGGGAUGGACUCGCGGCUUAUCAGCUUGUUGGUGGGGUAGUGGCUUACCAAGGCUUUGACGGGUAGCCGGCCUGAGAGGGUGACCGGCCACAUUGGGACUGAGAUACUGCCCAGACUCCUACGGGAGGCAGCAGUGGGGAAUAUUGCACAAUGGGCGGAAGCCUGAUGCAGCAACGCCGCGUGCGGGAUGACGGCCUUCGGUUUGUAAACCGCUUUCGCCUGUGACGAAGCGUGAGUGACGGUAAUGGGUAAAGAAGCACCGGCUAACUACGUG
RNAcentral lists this ribosomal RNA (468 nucleotides) under uncultured bacterium. Its description in RNAcentral is "partial 16S ribosomal RNA". It matches the Rfam family "Bacterial small subunit ribosomal RNA", at positions 28 to 507 of the family's 1533-position model. The record is from RNAcentral.